RNAcentral lists this non-coding RNA (26 nucleotides) under Mus musculus (house mouse). Lineage: Eukaryota; Metazoa; Chordata; Mammalia; Rodentia; Muridae. The record is from RNAcentral.
UGGUUAUGUGCAAUUCUGCUCUGAUA